Molecule: ribosomal RNA, 235 nt
Filed under: uncultured bacterium
Lineage: Bacteria
Description: partial 16S ribosomal RNA
Rfam family: Bacterial small subunit ribosomal RNA
Source: RNAcentral
AGCAAUCUACCUUGGAGUGGGGAAUAACACAGUGAAAACUGUGCUAAUACCGCAUAAUACAACUGUGUCGCAUGGCAGUGGUUGUCAAAGAUUUAUCGCUCUGAGAUGAGCUCGCGUCUGAUUAGCUAGUAGGCGGGGUAAAGGCCCACCUAGGCGACGAUCAGUAGCCGGACUGAGAGGUUGGCCGGCCACAUUGGGACUGAGACACGGCCCAGACUCCUACGGAAGGCAGCAG